This 444-nucleotide ribosomal RNA is filed under the name uncultured bacterium. RNAcentral describes it as "partial 16S ribosomal RNA". It matches the Rfam family "Bacterial small subunit ribosomal RNA", at positions 338 to 795 of the family's 1533-position model. The record is from RNAcentral.
ACUACGGGGUGCAGCAGUGGGGAAUAUUGGGCAAUGGGCGCAAGCCUGACCCAGCAACGCCGCGUGAAGGAAGAAGGCUUUCGGGUUGUAAACUUCUUUUCUGAGGGACGAAGAAAGUGACGGUACCUCAGGAAUAAGCCACGGCUAACUACGUGCCAGCAGCCGCGGUAAUACGUAGGUGGCAAGCGUUAUCCGGAUUUAUUGGGUGGAAAGGGCGUUUAGGCGGGAAAGCAAGUCAGAUGUGAAAACUCAGGGCUCAACACUGAGCCUGCAUGUGAAACUGUUUUUCUUGAGUGCUGGGGAGGCAAUCGGAAUUCCGUGUGUAGCGGUGAAAUGCGUAGAUAUACGGAGGAACACCAGUGGCGAAGGCGGAUUGCUGGACAGUAACUGACGCUGAGGCGCGAAAGCGUGGGGAGCAAACAGGAUUAGAUACCCCGGGUAGUC